This 77-nucleotide transfer RNA is filed under the name Candidatus Bathyarchaeota archaeon. RNAcentral's name for it is "tRNA-Ala". It matches the Rfam family "tRNA". From Rfam's summary of the family: Transfer RNA (tRNA) molecules are approximately 80 nucleotides in length. Their secondary structure includes four short double-helical elements and three loops (D, anti-codon, and T loops). The record is from RNAcentral. RNAcentral also lists the same sequence under 5 other names. Lineage: Archaea; Thermoproteati; Candidatus Bathyarchaeota.
GGGCCGGUAGAUCAGCCUGGUGGAUCGCCCGCUUGGCAUGCGGGAGGUCGCGGGUUCAAGUCCCGCCCGGUCCACCA